GUAUAUUCAAUCAUGUAGAUAUAUAGGGUUAGAUGUAAUAAUUAAUAAAGAUAUAACUUAAUCUUAAUGGUUAAGAGCUUAGCAUACUCUUAAGAGAUCCUAGGUUUUAUCACGAAAGUCAAUUCAAAAUAAAUGUUAAAUGGAGUAAAAACUUACUAAGGCUGCGUUCUUCAUUGCUUAAGAGACAGGACUUUUACUUGAAAAAGUGUUUUUCUUUGAAAAGCAAUGAAGAACAGCCUUCAUUUAGUAGCAAAUUCUCAGAAAUUGAGAAUUGCUUUUAGGCAGAUAGAGAAGUAAAAUUUUUAAGCUUUUCAGCCAAAAAAUGCUUUUGGCUGGUUCAUUUACUUUUUUAGCCACACACGACCGCCCUUCUUUGUUCUCUGCUCUCUGUUGGUUCUUUGCCCUCAUCCCUGCCCUCUGCCGGUUCUUUGUUCCUCUGCUCUCUGUCGGUGAGUUUAUCUUUUUCUUCUCUUCUUCUGUAUAUUUUUGUUUGUCUGGGAUUGAUUUUCGUAAUUGAUUGAAGAUUGGAUAGGAGAUAAACUUAGGUUGUCAACACUUCCUUCAUCUCCUACAUCGAGCGAAAAGAGUAAGAGACAACAAUGGUUACUUUCCGGGUAAGUUAUUGAGAGUAAAAGACUGUUUUAGGAUCAAAUGAUGAUGCUGUAAUAGGCCAUUUUAGCCCGGGCCCAAAUGUAUAAACCUUAAAAUAACAAAUACAAUAAACAGUCUAUUUUUACAAAUAACCCAAUCGGCCCAAUAGCUUAGCCCAAACAGCAGAAAUUGGCCCAAUUGUCCCACAAGAUGUUUUUGGCAAAUGAGGCAGAAACCCUAGGACGUGCUGCACGACUCCCUCGCAUGCCUCCGCGAAUGUUGCCCCACGUCGCUUCUCUCGCGUUCAGUAGCCUCAGACGUUAUACACGUCUCCUCUAGUGUUUCUGAAAGAAGUCACGAUCAGCACAUUGGGCAGUUUUUUUUUUCACAUGGUGGCAGCAAAUAAACUAGGAACAGUACUAAGAGAAAAUAGACAGCAAAAAAAGAAGGUAGAGGGAAAAAAGGGGAAAAAAGAUUUCUGUAACUGGGUUUUUAGCAAAAUUUUUGUACCGAAAUUAAAGGAAAAAAUACAAAAGAGAAUGAAACGAUCUUUUGAAGGUGACCAUUGGGGUUUUGUCUUUUCCCUUUCCUGUUUACUGUUUUUUUAUUUCAUUUUCCUCUUUGUUUUUUUUAAAACAAAACGCGAGAAAAGGGAGCGGAGGAAGACUUACCGUCGCGGCGGCGUUGGAAAACCCUUUCGUUUCGCGGUUGUCGGAGCAAAGUGGGUCGAAAAUGAUGGAGAGCAGAGGUGCUGCUGCGGCACAUUUUGGGAAUGGCAGAGGGAAAUUAUUUUUUAGGAUUUGAGAAAAGGGGUUU
Molecule: long non-coding RNA, 1407 nt
Filed under: Gossypium raimondii (Peruvian cotton)
Lineage: Eukaryota; Viridiplantae; Streptophyta; Magnoliopsida; Malvales; Malvaceae
Description: long non-coding RNA (GRAI_LNC004302)
Source: RNAcentral